RNAcentral lists this non-coding RNA (30 nucleotides) under Mus musculus (house mouse). The record is from RNAcentral. Lineage: Eukaryota; Metazoa; Chordata; Mammalia; Rodentia; Muridae.
UCGUGGACCAGAUAGAAGACAUGUCCUUGG